Long non-coding RNA from Mauremys mutica (yellowpond turtle), 1629 nucleotides. RefSeq lists it as uncharacterized. The record is from RefSeq and is a predicted model, not a curated record. Lineage: Eukaryota; Metazoa; Chordata; Testudines; Geoemydidae. The transcript has 4 exons.
GAGAAGGCUGUGAGGCAAGGGACAGGACUGGUCUUAUUUAAUUUAUCCUGGACUUUUAGGGUUUUGAGAACUAGACCCAUCCCUAUAGAAGGGACUGAAAUUUUAUCUCUGUGGGGAGUUGUAUUUAAUGCCCUGGGUGGGGUGUCUCUCAUCUCCAAUCAAUACCUGCUGAGUUUAGGGGUUUUGGAAGUCCGGGAACCAGAGAGAAUUGAGGCCUGGCCAGUUGGAAUCACAGGACCGAAAGGAGCCUGGUGCUUCAUAAGCAGAGACAGAAAAUACAGCGCCAGUGAAAAUGUAAACUCUCUCUCAAGGAUUUAUAAAGGGGCUAAGGCACAGUCCAUUGGAGUCAAUGGGAGCCUUUGCAUAGACUUCAGUGGGCUUUGGAUCAAGCCCUUGAGCUUCUUGGCAAGGAAGAAACAAGAGACCCACCACAAUGUCUAUUUUCUCUGCUGCUUGAGAUUGUUCUGCAUUCAAAGCCUUCCUCUACUGGUGCACACAAGGAAACAGCCAGCCAGCAGUGGUUAUUUUGAAGGGGGUGGGAGUAAAUUACUGGGGGGAAAAAUCAAACUAUCAAGACAUUGUUCGUUCUUCAUGAUCCCUUCCGUGGAGAAUUAUUUUCUCCCCACUCCUUGUUGUUAUUUUAACUCUAGCUCUUUGGGAUGGGGCUGUGCCUUCCAGUGCUUCUAGAGUGCACAUGUGGAGCACAGCUGGAGUAUUAACAGCAACAGAAUAAUGCCUGCAGGUUAGUUUUAUUUCUAAAAAAACAUUUUGGAUCUGCUCCUCGGGGAUGGGACUGACUUUUUGUUCUGGGUUUGUGCAGUGCCUAGCACAGAGGGGUCCUGGUUUACAACUGGAGUCCCAGUUGUGCUACUGCAAUAUAAAUAGUACCAGUCCCCUUGUUCUGAAUAGAAAUCACUGCAGAGGUGGUGAACGGUGUGAAUCGCUCCCAGAGUGCAGACGGGAAAGGCAUGUGAAAGUGUGAACCCCACAACUGGAUUUUCAGUGUCUGGACACUCAGUCAUGUCCUACAGAUUUGCUUGGGUGUUUGGAGUAGCUUAUACCCUCCCCAUCCAGAGUCCUGUGGGGUCGGCGAGGAAGGGAGGAGAGAUGCUGCUAGAACUAGAGCUGACUGGAAGAUGACAAUUUUGUUUCGUGUCGACUUCUGAGGUUUUGAAAUGUGGGUUUCUGCCACGUUGGAAUGAAACCAAACCCUUCCCAAUGUUUCUGCAAAAAUUAAGCUGUGUUGAAAUAUCCGUUUUUGAAUCAAAACCUGCAUGUGGGGAAGGGGUGGGGGCGGGUUCUGGCUUGCAGGGCGGAAGAGGGCAGUUCAAGUCCCUGCUCCCCAUAACCACCUGACUGUAGCGUGGGAGAGAAUGUGUCUCUCACACCCAAAAACGUCACUGAAGCCAGUAUGCCUCUGCAAACUGUCCGUUUCGACAGGAAGACCAUUUUGGCAAAAUUUCAUUUAGACAAAAAAAUUCCAACCAGCUCUAGUUCUGUCCUACCCCUGGCCAGCAGGGAGCAGUGGAAGUCAUGUGGAUCCAUGUACCGUUUACCACCUCCAGAGCUGAACCAGCCAGACUCUGCAACAUUUGGAUUUUGGUAAAUUGCGUUCCUUCCAGUACAGAA